This 450-nucleotide ribosomal RNA is filed under the name uncultured bacterium. RNAcentral's name for it is "partial 16S ribosomal RNA". It matches the Rfam family "Bacterial small subunit ribosomal RNA", at positions 354 to 796 of the family's 1533-position model. The record is from RNAcentral.
GUGGGGAAUAUUGGACAAUGGGCGAAAGCCUGAUCCAGCCAUGCCGCGUGUGUGAAGAAGGUCUUCGGAUUGUAAAGCACUUUAAGUUGGGAGGAAGGGUAGUAACCUAAUACGUUGCUACUUUGACGUUACCGACAGAAUAAGCACCGGCUAACUUCGUGCCAGCAGCCGCGGUAAUACGAAGGGUGCAAGCGUUAAUCGGAAUUACUGGGCGUAAAGCGCGCGUAGGUGGUUCGUUAAGUUGGAUGUGAAAGCCCCGGGCUCAACCUGGGAACUGCAUCCAAAACUGGCGAGCUAGAGUACGGUAGAGGGUGGUGGAAUUUCCUGUGUAGCGGUGAAAUGCGUAGAUAUAGGAAGGAACACCAGUGGCGAAGGCGACCACCUGGACUGAUACUGACACUGAGGUGCGAAAGCGUGGGGAGCAAACAGGAUUAGAUACCCGGGUAGUCC